CACCGCCACGGUAAUACGAAGGGUGCAAGCGUUACUCGGAAUUACUGGGCGUAAAGCGUGCGUAGGUGGUGGUUUAAGUCCGUUGUGAAAGCCCUGGGCUCAACCUGGGAAUUGCAGUGGAUACUGGGUCACUAGAGUGUGGUAGAGGAUAGUGGAAUUUCCGGUGUAGCAGUGAAAUGCGUAGAGAUCGGAAGGAACAUCUGUGGCGAAGGCGACUAUCUGGGCCAACACUGACACUGAGGCACGAAAGCGUGGGGAGCAAACAGGAUUAGAUACCCCUGUAGUCCCUGUCUCUUAUACA
This 301-nucleotide ribosomal RNA is filed under the name uncultured bacterium. Its description in RNAcentral is "partial 16S ribosomal RNA". It matches the Rfam family "Bacterial small subunit ribosomal RNA", at positions 509 to 808 of the family's 1533-position model. The record is from RNAcentral.